Molecule: unclassified non-coding RNA, 190 nt
Filed under: uncultured bacterium
Lineage: Bacteria
Description: 16S-23S intergenic spacer
Source: RNAcentral
UCUAUGGAGAACUGUUAGUUAAGGUUACUUAGGUAAUCUUAACUAACCAGCGAUUCGUUUUUCUACUGUUUAAUUUUGAAGGACCAAAAAGCUUACAGAAUGUAAGCCUUUUGAAUCCUUAGUUCUUUGAAAACUGCACAACGAAUAAAAAGCAAAGGUAAAACACUGCGAAAGAAAAGAAAACAAUUUU